UUCAACUAUCAAUCAUGUUACAGUGGGGCAAAGAAGUAUUUAGUCAGCCACCAAUUGUGCAAGUUCUCCCACUUAAAAAGAUGAGAGAGGCCUGUAAUUUUCAUCAUAGAUAUACCUCAACUAUGAGAGACAAAAGGAGAAAAAAAAAUCCAGAAAAUCACAUUGUCUGAUUUUUAAAGAAUUUAUUUAUAUUCAAACAACCAUAUAAUCUUUUUUUACUAUUCUUUCUAAACAUUUGACAUCAUUAGAACCCACACUUUAAGAAUCUGUAAAUAACUCAAAAGGCUGGUUCCUGGUUUUGUCGUGGCCAGGGACAUAUUUGAACAUCACUUAUAGCUUGUGGUCCUCUGUUCGGCUGUAGUAACAUGAUGAAACUCUGAUCCUGCAAUCUUUCACCUUUUUAUUUCCGCUGUUGCCUAGCAACCAGUGAACUCUUCCUCUGUACGAUCCAUUCAGAUGGAAAAGCAGUGAGCACUGAACCAUUUUGUGUGUUAGUUAAAAUAUACAUAAGUUAGAUUGGAACUAAAAUCUGUAAUUACGUAACUUUCAUAUUUGGAAAUGUUUUGAUUACUUUGGUAACUUUUAGGCCCACCUCCCAUUUAAUUUCCCUUUGGGAUUAAUAAAGUAUUUUUGAAUUUGAAUUCAUUUAAAAGAUUAAGAACACACCAGGAGGCGUGGUGGAAGUCUUUUGUUUGUCAAAUGUCCGUGUGACCAUGUGGGUUUUUGGUAAAAUGACUUAUUGACCAAUUUUUGAAGUUGAAACAUUAGAUUAUGUCAGCUUCAGUUUUAAUCUGAGUUGUAAGAGAUUUUUAGAUUUAAUUUCAUCCAUAUUUUUGCAAGAAAUAAGCUAUGUAUAUUUUUUCAAACAAUCAAACAAAACACUUGUUGCUGCUCACAGCCUUUCUUGGAAAAUUUAGGUUUUGGAACUUAGAAGUCUGCGACAGUGUCUAGAUUAGUGCAAACCACUCCGUCUUCAAACUUGAAAUAGAUUCUGCUGAGUUUAUAUGUGACACUGUCCAUCAUUGUUCUUGACCUUUGACCUUUCAAUCAGGUGGGAUAUGUUUGUGAUUACUUGAACAUUUUGUCUUCAAAGUUGAUGUAUUAGAAGUACGAGGAAUGGACAGUGUAAGGAUUUUGACUGGGUCAGAAACUUUUGCAAAAUUGCAGCUUGUUGGUUGACCAUCUGCAAUAGUGUGAGGAAAAAACAUUGGUAAAUCAGCCACAGGGUCAUAGGUCACCAAGACUGAUAAGUGCAUGUCUGGUAUGAAGGUUGGUCCGUGUGCUCCGAUUAAACAGACGGGUUUCUGUGACUGAAUAAGUUGUUGUCAUUUUCAAAGAAAAGUGUCAGAAUACACAGCAAACCAUAAGCCCCUUUCAUUUCAGGGUUGUUGAUUAUGGUGGUGCAAUAUUUAUUUUAAACAUGUAAGCAAUGAAUGUCAGCAGAGAAAUCAAAGAAUACAAAAAUAAAAAUGGGAAGGAUAAUCAAACAUCAAAAUAAAAACAUUUAUUCAGUUUGAAACAUAGGAAGAAGCUAAUGCUUAUUAAAUCAUAAUUCUAUUUGACUCUGCCAGGAUAUGCAUUAUGUAUUUCAGCCUAUAAUGUAUAAUCCAAAUACUUCCCACAUUCUAAAUAUUUCUGCAUAUGAUUUGUUCUCCAUGACACAAUACACCUCCCAAAAAUCAUCUACACCAGUGGUUCUCAAACUUUUUUCAUUGAUGUACCCCCUUAAAAAUAUAUUUUUAGUCACAGUGCUGUAAAAUCACUGUCUGAUUUAUUAAAGCCAAACAACUUAUAUCAGUGAACCUGACAAAUACUGUACAUCCAUAUUGCAAACAUUGCAUGGUUAAACAAAAAAGAAAAACAGAAGACGGUGACCACCAGGAAGGUAUAAAACCAGUCAAAACUGAAAUAUGCAAAACGCUGCUAAUUUAUAUUGGUCUCUGUAAUGGUACAAAAUUAAA
Xiphophorus hellerii (green swordtail) is the source of this 1961-nucleotide long non-coding RNA. RefSeq lists it as uncharacterized. NCBI's taxonomy places the organism in Eukaryota, Metazoa, Chordata, Actinopteri, Cyprinodontiformes, Poeciliidae. The transcript has 3 exons. The record is from RefSeq and is a predicted model, not a curated record.